Myotis brandtii (Brandt's bat) is the source of this 501-nucleotide long non-coding RNA. RefSeq lists it as uncharacterized. The record is from RefSeq and is a predicted model, not a curated record. Lineage: Eukaryota; Metazoa; Chordata; Mammalia; Chiroptera; Vespertilionidae. The transcript has 4 exons.
GCCGAGUGGCCCCUCUGGGUUUAGCGUUUUAUAUUGAGUGCAGACAGUGACUUCUGGGUUCCCGUGUCCUGCAAGAGUUUAGACCCUGCGGGGACCCGGAGAGGGAAAAAGCAAGUUGCUUCCCAGCCCAGAACCUGCAAAGCUGCCAGAUGUACAGUCACCUGUGUGGAAACCAAAAUCUCACCGGUUAGAAACUCAGACCCCCGUCCCCGCUCCUGGGCUGAUAAAUCAAAUAAAUCUCCGCGGCGAGGACCCAGAAUCUGGAUUUAACCAGAUCCUGAACCUCUGGGGACUGCUGCGUAAGAACUUGAACUUGACAGACUUCACCCCCCCACACACCUCCAAUGGGUGAAAUGGAUGAAAGGGGUCGGAAGUUCAUUUGCCAUAGAUGUCCAAAAGGAAAACUGCUUUGUCAAAAGAGUUCUUCAACAACAUCUGGAAGAACAUGCCACUAAUACAAGUACACAGAUAUCAACAUAAGAAAUCAAGGAUCAUGAAAAG